AGUGAACGCUGGCGGUAGGCCUAACACAUGCAAGUCGAACGGCAGCACAGUAAGAGCUUGCUCUUACGGGUGGCGAGUGGCGGACGGGUGAGGAAUACAUCGGAAUCUACUUUUUCGUGGGGGAUAACGUAGGGAAACUUACGCUAAUACCGCAUACGACCUACGGGUGAAAGCAGGGGAUCUUCGGACCUUGCGCGAUUGAAUUAGCCGAUGUCGGAUUAGCUAGUUGGCGGGGUAAAGGCCCACCAAGGCGACGAUCCGUAGCUGGUCUGAGAGGAUGAUAAGCCGCACUGGAACUGGGACACGGUCCAGACUCCUAAGGGAGGCAGCAGUGGGGAAUAUUGGACAAUGGGCGCAAGCCUGAUCCAGCCAUACCGCGUGGGUGAAGAAGGCCUUCGGGUUGUAAAGCCCUUUUGUUGGGAAAGAAAAGCAGCAGGUUAAUACCCCGCUGUUCUGACGGUACCCAAAGAAUAAGCACCGGCUAACUUCGUG
RNAcentral lists this ribosomal RNA (492 nucleotides) under uncultured bacterium. RNAcentral describes it as "partial 16S ribosomal RNA". It matches the Rfam family "Bacterial small subunit ribosomal RNA", at positions 29 to 507 of the family's 1533-position model. The record is from RNAcentral.